CUGUGCCAUGAGGAGGAUGCCGCCGCGUUGAUGAGCCAUCAGUGACGAACUGGUGCAUAAAGUUGCUUUGUAGUAGGCAAUGAAGAGGCUCGGUGUAAAGGUAAUACAUUUAGUGAAGUAGUUUUAAAUUGACACGGAAUAAAACAAUCCACUGCAGGCAGAGUGAGUACGUGCUAGCAGCAACAACAUACACUUCUUCUUCUCCUCCCAGGAACCGUAUGCCCCAAAUAUGCCAUCUAGUGGCGCAGAAUACAAUAAGGUUUUGUAUAAUUAAAUCUGCGCCAGUGUAGAGUAUCCAGCACAAUAAUUUUAACAUUAGGUAAUUUUGGCAUAUUCGGCAACGCUUAUUUUUCUUUUCUUUUAUCUCAAAGGCGAGAGAGCAGCCUGCGAGUCCUCAGUAGAACAUGUUUUCUACGCAGGAUCUGAUAUCACCAAGGAUGAACGUUUUAGCCGGCCAAUCAGAAGUCAGCAGCAAGAGAAGAGCCCGCCUACUCAUGAAGUCGUACACACCCAUUGACUCUAUUUACUCUCAAUGCGUACACCUGAAGGUCCAGCGAGUGGGGUUGGUAUCAGUGUGGUAAGUUUAUUCUCAAGUUUGGGCUUUAUAUGACAGUAGGCGUUUCAUUUCAAACCAUCUACGAGUGCAGAUAUGUCUUAUGAGCAGAAAAGACUCGUGUUAUUACGGUGCCAAUGUAUUUUCUUUCGUAAAAACAAUACGCUAGUUAAUAGUUAGCUACCAUAAUAGCUUAUCUAGUUAGCAUAACUACCCAGUACAAUGAACAGCUAAUAAUGAUGUGACCUGUACGUGUGCAUUUAUUGUUUUGGCAAAUAUUGUUAAUCACCGUCGUCACAUUUCGUCUUGACAUCUGGUGAAGAGGGCAAAAAAGUAUUGGGCUGAGUGCAAGCAGCUACAUUUAGAACAAGACGAGGGAAAACUCACUGUAACACUAUGCUAGGUCCGACAAGUUUUUCAUAUCGAGUAGACAUCUGUAAAUAAGGCGUGUGUUGGUUUAAUGUAGCGAUUGUUUUAGGAUGGGGCUCCGUUUAAGUCAUUAAAUCUGCACGCACAUAACCGUGUUGCCCUGGCUGGUCGUAAUGGUUCAAAGCGCCUAGUUCUACGUGCAACUUUGAAGUUGCAAUUCAUCCUCCUGUCACUUUCGAGCAGCUACUGGUAAAAUUUGCUGAACCCUCGCUCUCGUACCCGAAACAGCAUCAUCACCAGUGUUGGGCAGUAAUGCAUUACAAAAGUAAUUAAUUGCCUCUACUGUAAUGCAUUACAGGGCAAAAAUAUGUAAUAUUAACUUAGUUACAAUGCUUACAAGUUACAUUUCAGUGUGGUGGGUCAGAAAUAAGCUACUGUAUUCCUGAACCUGGUAGUUUUAGUUUGCAUGCUGCCAAAACACCUCUUGGGUGGGAGGUAAAAGUCAUGACUCAUGCAAAAGUAGUGUAAUGCCUUAUAUUUUAAAUAUAGUAAUGAUUUAGUGUAAGGGAUUAUUUUGAAAAGGCAGUAACAUGACAUGUAAGCUUAAUCAGUAGUAACUUGCCCAACACUGAUCAUCACCCAUACGACAUGCAUUUCAUUUUAUUAUAACCAGGGUGCGAUUUGUAGUCAGGGAUUGUCCUCCCUUGUGGUCUUGAUAUCGCCACUUUUUCUGCAUGAUUUUAUCAGUUCAAUGUAAUUCCAUUGAUAUCGCUUACAAUCUGAAACAUAUUCCCCCUUCUGGUUUUCCAGAUCACAAAUCGCACCCUGAUUAUAACCAUUGCAUUACUCUGGUUAUACAGUAGCCCACUACUUUUCAUUACAUGUAAUGAUGUAGAGAUCUAGAGCUAAUAUAAUGCUUCUCCCAGUAGGCCUAGUGGAUCCACACCGUGACCUAAGUGCACUGGACCCUGUUGAUAUGCAGCCACCUCAGCUUCAUGAAGAAACGGCAAGAUUCAGAUGACUACACCGUUUCAGAUCUACUCAUCUCGCUCACCUGUCCACCUGGAUGAAGGAUCACACUCUGCAGCUGAACAUGUCCAAAACCAAGCUCCCAAUCAAAUUGUUCUAGGUUAAUCUCUAACAACAACCUUUUUCUUCCUGCAUUGUGCCUUGCUGAUUUUGUUUGUUUGCACAUGUGACUGAGGUAGCCUGGUUUUACCAGACCACAUUAAUUGCUUCGUAAGUAAUUUUAGGUCUGGAUCCUUCGUGUCCUCCUUGAGCACCAGGGCGGGAGAAGUGAGCUCAGCUCUGAUUUGAAAUGAGCUCUGUCCAAUCGCUGACAAUUGACGUAUGUUAUUCUGCCAAGUGCAUUCACGCCGGUUGUCAGUGUUGCCAGAUGUACGAUAAUUUAUACCAUAAUUUUGUUCUUCCGCCGGUCAGGUAGCGUAUGUCACACUUAGUAUACAAAGCUUGACAUGGUACCAUUAAAGUCCCAAGAUGGAGCAAACAACACAGGUGUUGACAUUAUAUAGCAUGGGCAACUUAUGAUGAGGAGGGCCAUGUUUUUUUCAGCACCAGCAUCAGGGGUUCACAUGACCACAGAUCUGACUCCAAUUUACAGAGUUGGUUGUUCUCUAACUGUCCAUAUUGUUUGGAAGGAAUAUAAUACUCUACCUGUAUACUCAAUACUCUAUUGGGCAGUCAUGGGUAAGCAGUUAGGGUGUCAGACUUGUAGCCCAAAAGUUGCCGGUUCAACUCCCGACCCGCCAGGUUGGUGGGGGGAGUAAUAAACCAGUGCUUGCCCCCAUCCUCCUCCAUGACUGAGUUACCCUGAGCAUGGUACCGUCCCGCCUUGCUUCUUUGGGGCACCAUUGAGGGCUGCCCCCUUGCACGGAUGAGACAUGAAUGCACUUUCGUAGUGUGCAGUGUUCACUUGCUUGCUGUGUCACAAUGACAAUGUGAGUUGGAGUUUCCCAAUUGGGCUUUCACUUUCACGCUUUCACACUAUUGGCCCACAGUAUAAUUACAACAUAUUGAUUCAGUAAUCGUGUUUAAAAAAUAUGGUCAUUAUUUUCUUAAUUAGGCCUACUGUUUUAUCUAUAGGGCGCAUUGAGUGAGGAGGCGGGCUGCAUUUGGCCCCCGGGCAUCCAUUUGCCCAUCCCUGUUGUAGAGUGAACUACACAGUGAUUGCUGUCUAUAGCAGUGGUUCUUAACCUGGGGUUAGUGUUGAGGUUGUGGCCAAAAUUCUGUUUGAGAACAUUAAAAUUAGGCCAAAUCAGAACCAAAUUAAAAAAUGAUGGUCCCCAUUUAAAGCCAUAAAGAUUUUGAUUGAUGUCUCUUUGUAAUUAUAAAGGAUGAUAUUAAUCACCUGAAUCAUUUUAGCCUAUUGUUGGACAUUGCAGCCUAAAGGUUGUCGGUUCGACUCCCGACCCACCAGGUUGGUGGGGGCAGUCAUCAAGCAGUGUUCUCCUCCAUGACUGAAGUAUCCUCAGCAUAGUACCGCCCCGCCGCACUCCUCCCUUUCCGGCGCCUUUGUGAUUUGCCCCCUGGCAUGGAUGGGGCAUAAAAUUGAUUGCUUUGUGUGCCGUGGAAUGCUGUGUCACAAUGACACUGGAAGUUGAAGUUACCCAAUUGUGCUUUCACUGGGUUAUUUAAUGGAAGGUACCGUCAUCUAUUACCUAUUAGAAGUAGAAUUUUCCAUAAUUUGGUAUGUUUUUUUUUUACUGAUGGUCUUGGAUAGUAAUUAGAACUGUUUUUUUGCAGCAACUGGAUAGCUACAAAUCCAUCCAAGUUUUGAAAUUGAAAGGGUGCCCUCCCCUUUCCACAUUUUAUUAAAACUGUUAACCUACUGUUAAAGGAGCCGUCCUGCCAAUUUCAAUAUGCUGUUGUAUUAUUGCUCACACUACCCUUGACUUGUUAGUACAUUGCAUUUUUCGGCUCAGCCCUUUCCGAGAUCUGGGCUAUUCUAAUGGGGGCAGAUUUUGUUUACAUUAAAAACUAUCUACUCCAAAUAUUGAUGCAUAACCUUUUGGAUGAUUUUGGGGGGUAAAAAGCUCAGGUACUGACAAGUCCAGGGUAGUGUGUGAGCAUGACGACUGCAUGUUGAAAUUGGCUGAGCCUUUUAGGAAGCCGGUUGCAUGUAUGUUGGAAACAAUAUUUGACAGCGUCUUAGGUUGGAAACAAUAUUUGACAGCGUCUUAUACUGCAGCGUCUUAUCUCUACUACAAAUUAUGAUGUAAAUGUGGAUUUAUUUUUUAUGACAUGAAUACCAGGCUCUACUGUAUUUGAAGAAACUGACAAUAAAGCUGCCACUUGUUAA
Engraulis encrasicolus (European anchovy) is the source of this 4241-nucleotide long non-coding RNA. RefSeq lists it as uncharacterized. The record is from RefSeq and is a predicted model, not a curated record. The transcript is spliced from 2 exons. Lineage: Eukaryota; Metazoa; Chordata; Actinopteri; Clupeiformes; Engraulidae.